UAGGGAAUCUUCGGCAAUGGACGAAAGUCUGACCGAGCAACGCCGCGUGAGUGAAGAAGGUUUUCGGAUCGUAAAACUCUGUUGUUAGAGAAGAACAAGGACGUUAGUAACUGAACGUCCCCUGACGGUAUCUAACCAGAAAGCCACGGCUAACUACGUGCCAGCAGCCGCGGUAAUACGUAGGUGGCAAGCGUUGUCCGGAUUUAUUGGGCGUAAAGCGAGCGCAGGCGGUUUCUUAAGUCUGAUGUGAAAGCCCCCGGCUCAACCGGGGAGGGUCAUUGGAAACUGGGGGACUUGAGUGCAGAAGAGGAGAGUGGAAUUCCAUGUGUAGCGGUGAAAUGCGUAAAUAUAUGGAGGAACACCAGUGGCGAAGGCGGCUCUCUGGUCUGUAACUGACGCUGAGGCUCGAAAGCGUGGGGAGCAAACAGG
RNAcentral lists this ribosomal RNA (429 nucleotides) under Gemmatimonadota bacterium. Its description in RNAcentral is "Gemmatimonadetes bacterium partial 16S ribosomal RNA". It matches the Rfam family "Bacterial small subunit ribosomal RNA", at positions 355 to 776 of the family's 1533-position model. The record is from RNAcentral. Lineage: Bacteria; Pseudomonadati; Gemmatimonadota.